RNAcentral lists this ribosomal RNA (1071 nucleotides) under Triticum aestivum (bread wheat). RNAcentral describes it as "partial small subunit ribosomal RNA". Lineage: Eukaryota; Viridiplantae; Streptophyta; Magnoliopsida; Poales; Poaceae. The record is from RNAcentral.
AUGAAAGAGUAUGCAGAUGCUGCUAAAUUUCGUGGUCAGAAUGGAUGGACCAAAGAAGGAUGGAAAAGCAUGGCUACACGCUUGAACAAUCAGUUUCCGAUAGCUAAUUUUGUUGUUGAUCAACUAAAAUUUAGGGAGCAGCGGUUGAAGAAAGAAUAUUUUAUUGUCAAAUCUACUGUAGAGAAGAGUGGCUUCGGUUUUGAUCCUAUUAACAAAAUGCUAACAACCAUUCCAGAAAAAUGGGAUGAAUUGAGCAAAGAACAACAGAAGUGGAGAUACAAAGCUUUCCCUUACUAUGAUGAUUUGCAUGCAAUUUAUGAUGGUACGUUGGUUUCACAUGUAAUCAAUUUAGCAUAUUUCUUGCUUGCUUGUAGUUUACAAUCUAUUCCUCUGUACCCAUGUAAAUUAGCGGAGGGCAAGGGUUGUAAGAGGACAAUAGAUCAGGUUGAAGAGAGGUUCAGUUCGGCUACAGAUAUGCCACAAGGGGAAACCUUCACACAACAAGUUCUAAAUGCCGCGCUUAAUUCGCCUAGUCCAACAUUACCGGCUCCAGACUUUGAAGAUCAACAUUAUGAGUGGAGUAAAGGCAUAUAUGGUGACGAUGUCGAAGUAUUUCCUGUUGAAAACACAGAAUGUCUGGAGAAUAAUAGUAACCAAUUUCCCACAGAAGACGUGAACACACUUCCUGACCCACCACCUAUGAAAAAGGCUAGGGCUUCUAAAGGCAAUGAUGAAGGUAAGGCUAAGAGAGGCAAAGACACAACAAUUGAAGAUCUGGUUGCAGUUAGAAAAGAAGAACUUAAAACUUAUGUGGAUGUAAAGACGAAGCAAAUUGAGAGCUACAGAGACGUGAAAAUGGCGCUGAUGGAAAAAAAGAAUCCUGACAAAGGUCCUUAUUGCAUUGCCAAUUGCAUUGUCAAACUUAAGACCAUGCCAGAUCUCUCAGCAAGUGAACAUCUGAAGACGAUCGAGUAUCUGAAAGGACAAAGAGCUGACCGUGAAAUCUUCAUGACAGUGGAGCAUGAUGUGGUUCUGGAGAUCCUCAAGAAAGUGCUUGGCCGUCAAAUUUAA